RNAcentral lists this ribosomal RNA (428 nucleotides) under uncultured Bifidobacterium sp. Its description in RNAcentral is "bacterial SSU rRNA". It matches the Rfam family "Bacterial small subunit ribosomal RNA", at positions 201 to 640 of the family's 1533-position model. The record is from RNAcentral. Lineage: Bacteria; Bacillati; Actinomycetota; Actinomycetes; Bifidobacteriales; Bifidobacteriaceae.
GGAAAGAUUCAUCGGUAUGGGAUGGGGUCGCGUCCUAUCAGCUUGAUGGCGGGGUAACGGCCCACCAUGGCUUCGACGGGUAGCCGGCCUGAGAGGGCGACCGGCCACAUUGGGACUGAGAUACGGCCCAGACUCCUACGGGAGGCAGCAGUGGGGAAUAUUGCACAAUGGGCGCAAGCCUGAUGCAGCGACGCCGCGUGCGGGAUGACGGCCUUCGGGUUGUAAACCGCUUUUGACUGGGAGCAAGCCCUUCGGGGUGAGUGUACCUUUCGAAUAAGCACCGGCUAACUACGUGCCAGCAGCCGCGGUAAUACGUAGGGUGCAAGCGUUAUCCGGAAUUAUUGGGCGUAAAGGGCUCGUAGGCGGUUCGUCGCGUCCGGUGUGAAAGUCCAUCGCUUAACGGUGGAUCCGCGCCGGGUACGGGCGGG